Molecule: RNase P RNA, 328 nt
Filed under: human gut metagenome
Description: Bacterial RNase P class A
Rfam family: Bacterial RNase P class A
About the family: Ribonuclease P (RNase P) is a ubiquitous endoribonuclease, found in archaea, bacteria and eukarya as well as chloroplasts and mitochondria. Its best characterised activity is the generation of mature 5'-ends of tRNAs by cleaving the 5'-leader elements of precursor-tRNAs.
Source: RNAcentral
AGCAGACUGGGCAGCCGCACGCUUUAUGCGUGAGGAAAGUCCGGGCCCCAUAGAGCAGGAUAACGGCUAACGGCCGCCGAGGGCGACCUCAGGGAAAGUGCAACAGAGAUAUACCGCCGGCUUCGCCGGUAAGGGUGGAAAGGCGAGGUAAGAGCUCACCAGCGUGCGGGGAACCGCACGGCUCUGCAAACCCUAUCCGGAGCAACACCGACUGGAGAGACACGCUUGCUCGGCGCAUUCUCCGACAGGUGGCUUGAGCGCAGCGGCAACGCUGCGCCUAGAUAGAUGGCUGCCUUCAAUGACAGAACUCGGCUUACAGGUCUGGUCG